UGCCAGCAGCCGCGGUAAUACAGAGGGUGCAAACGUUGUUCGGAAUUACUGGGCGUAAAGCGCGUGUAGGCGGCCCGUUAAGUCGACUGUGAAAGCCCAUGGCUCAACCAUGGAAGUGCAGUCGAUACUGGCGGGCUCGAGUCCCGGAGAGGGUGGUGGAAUUCCCAGUGUAGAGGUGAAAUUCGUAGAUAUUGGGAGGAACACCGGUGGCGAAGGCGACCACCUGGACGGGUACUGACGCUGAGACGCGAAAGCGUGGGGAGCAAACAGGAUUAGAUA
This 279-nucleotide ribosomal RNA is filed under the name uncultured bacterium. RNAcentral's name for it is "partial 16S ribosomal RNA". It matches the Rfam family "Bacterial small subunit ribosomal RNA", at positions 506 to 784 of the family's 1533-position model. The record is from RNAcentral.